CAGCAGCCGCGGUAAUACGAAGGGGGCUAGCGUUGCUCGGAAUUACUGGGCGUAAAGGGAGCGUAGGCGGGUCGUUWAGUNRGRGGUGAAAGCCCGGGGCUCAACCUNGGAAAUGCCUUCRAUACUGGCGACCUUGAGUGYGGGAGAGGUGAGUGGAACUCCGAGUGUAGAGGUGAAAUUCGUAGAUAUUCGGAAGAACACCAGUGGCGAAGGCGACUCACUGGCCCAUUACUGACGCUGAGGCUCGAAAGCGUGGGGAGCAAACAGGAUUAGAUACCCUGGUAGUCCACGCUGUAAACGAUGAGUGCUAGUUGUCGGCAUGCAUGCAUGUCGGUGACGCAGCUAACGCAUUAAGCACUCCGCCUGGGGAG
This 371-nucleotide ribosomal RNA is filed under the name uncultured Caulobacteraceae bacterium. Its description in RNAcentral is "bacterial SSU rRNA". It matches the Rfam family "Bacterial small subunit ribosomal RNA", at positions 509 to 880 of the family's 1533-position model. The record is from RNAcentral. Lineage: Bacteria; Pseudomonadati; Pseudomonadota; Alphaproteobacteria; Caulobacterales; Caulobacteraceae.